This 111-nucleotide ribosomal RNA is filed under the name Pteropus alecto (black flying fox). Lineage: Eukaryota; Metazoa; Chordata; Mammalia; Chiroptera; Pteropodidae. The record is from RNAcentral.
GUCUAUGGCUAUGCCAUCCUGAACAAGCUCGAUGUCUGAUUUCAAAAGCAGGGUCAGGCCUGGUUAGUACUUGGAUGGGAGACCACCUAGGAAGACCAGGUGCUGUAGGCA